UGGGGAAUAUUGCACAAUGGGCGCAAGCCUGAUGCAGCCAUGCCGCGUGUGUGGAGAAGGCCUUCGGGUUGUAAAGCACUUUCAGCGAGGAGGAAGGUGGUGAGCUUAAUACGCUCAUCAAUUGACGUUACUCGCAGAAGAAGCACCGGCUAACUCCGUGCCAGCAGCCGCGGUAAUACGGAGGGUGCAAGCGUUAAUCGGAAUUACUGGGCGUAAAGCGCACGCAGGCGGUUUGUUAAGUCAGAUGUGAAAUCCCCGGGCUCAACCUGGGAACUGCAUUUGAAACUGGCAAGCUAGAGUCUCGUAGAGGGGGUAGAAUUCCAGGUGUAGCGGUGAAAUGCGUAGAGAUCUGGAGGAAUACCGGUGGCGAAGGCGGCCCCCUGGACGAAGACUGACGCUCAGGUGCGAAAGCGUGGGGCAGCAAACAGGAUUAGAUACCCUGGUAGUCACGCUGUAAACGAUGUCGAUUUUGGAGGUUGUGCCCUUGAGGCGUGGCUUCCGGAGCUAACGCGUUAAAUCGACCGCCUGGGGAGUACGGCCGCAAGGUUAAAACUU
RNAcentral lists this ribosomal RNA (555 nucleotides) under uncultured bacterium. RNAcentral describes it as "partial 16S ribosomal RNA". It matches the Rfam family "Bacterial small subunit ribosomal RNA", at positions 355 to 902 of the family's 1533-position model. The record is from RNAcentral.